RNAcentral lists this unclassified non-coding RNA (224 nucleotides) under uncultured Ceratobasidiaceae. RNAcentral's name for it is "partial internal transcribed spacer 2". Lineage: Eukaryota; Fungi; Basidiomycota; Agaricomycetes; Cantharellales; Ceratobasidiaceae. The record is from RNAcentral.
AAAUUAUCAAAAUAAGUCUUUUGUUCAUUCGAUUGACUUUUAUUUUGGACUUGGAGGUCUGCAGAUUCACGUCUGCUCCUCUUAAAUAAAUUAGCUGGAUCUCAGUGAGCUCGGUUCCACUCGGCGUGAUAAGUAUCACUCGCUGAGGACACUGUAAAAGGUGGCCGGGAUUGCGGAUGAACCGCUUCUAAUCGUCCAUUUACUUGGACAACAAAUACUUUAUG